RNAcentral lists this ribosomal RNA (253 nucleotides) under uncultured bacterium. RNAcentral's name for it is "partial 16S ribosomal RNA". It matches the Rfam family "Bacterial small subunit ribosomal RNA", at positions 524 to 776 of the family's 1533-position model. The record is from RNAcentral.
UACGUAGGGUGCGAGCGUUGUCCGGAAUUAUUGGGCGUAAAGAGCUUGUAGGCGGUUUGUCGCGUCUGCUGUGAAAUCUCAAGGCUCAACCUUGAGCUUGCAGUGGGUACGGGCAGACUAGAGUGUGGUAGGGGAGGCUGGAAUUCCUGGUGUAGCGGUGAAAUGCGCAGAUAUCAGGAGGAACACCAAUGGCGAAGGCAGCUCACUGGGACGGUAUUGACGCUGAGACGCGAAAGCGUGGGUAGCAAACAGG